CAGCGCCGCGGGAAUACGGAGGGUGCAAGCGUUAAUCGGAAUUACUGGGCGUAAAGCGCACGCAGGCGGUCUGACAAGUCAGAUGUGAAAUCCCCGGGCUUAACCUGGGAACUGCAUUUGAAACUGCCAGGCUGGAGUCUUGUAGAGGGGGGUAGAAUUCCAGGUGUAGCGGUGAAAUGCGUAGAGAUCUGGAGGAAUACCGGUGGCGAAGGCGGCCCCCUGGACAAAGACUGACGCUCAGGUGCGAAAGCGUGGGGAGCAAACAGGAUUAGAUACCCGCGUAGUCCCUGUCUCUUAUACA
Molecule: ribosomal RNA, 301 nt
Filed under: uncultured bacterium
Lineage: Bacteria
Description: partial 16S ribosomal RNA
Rfam family: Bacterial small subunit ribosomal RNA
Source: RNAcentral